RNAcentral lists this non-coding RNA (25 nucleotides) under Cricetulus griseus (Chinese hamster). Lineage: Eukaryota; Metazoa; Chordata; Mammalia; Rodentia; Cricetidae. The record is from RNAcentral.
UCCGGGAGAGUCGAUGUGGACUCGC